Molecule: long non-coding RNA, 310 nt
Organism: Stomoxys calcitrans (stable fly)
Lineage: Eukaryota; Metazoa; Arthropoda; Insecta; Diptera; Muscidae
Exons: 2
Source: RefSeq, a predicted model, not a curated record
GUUUUCGAGAAAAACCUUUCCCUUGACAAAUUAAUGUCUUGUCACCUUUCGUUGACAAUGGCAUGCCAAACGAAUUCUGCGAAGAGACACUUGAAGUAAUUAUAAAUCAAAACGUCUUUUGCUCGAUUGAACCAACGUAACAAAGAAGAAAAUCAAGAAUAUAAACCAAACCAAACCAAACCGAAGCAAAGAGACGAAACGAAAUGAAAAGAAUAGAAAAGAAAAGAGACGAACUGAAGUGAAGCGAGACAACAGAAACUUGGUCAAAUUGCAAUUAUUGUUGCCAUUGUCACUCAUUCAAUACAAACAA